GACGAACGCUGGCGGCGCGCCUAACACAUGCAAGUCGAACGAGAGAUGAGGAGCUUGCUCUUCAAAUCGAGUGGCGAACGGGUGAGUAACGCGUGAGGAACCUGCCUCAAAGAGGGGGACAACAGUUGGAGACGAUUGCCAAUACCGCAUAAGCCCACGGCUCGGCAUCGAGCAGAGGGGAAAGGAGCAAUCCGCUUUGAGAUGGCCUCGCGUCCGAUUAGCUAGUUGGUGAGAUAACGGCCCACCAAGGCGACGAUCGGUAGCCGGACUGAGAGGUUGAACGGCCACAUUGGGACUGAGACACGGCCCAGACUCCUACGGGAGGCAGCAGUGGGGAAUAUUGCACAAUGGGGGAAACCCUGAUGCAGCGACGCCGCGUGGAGGAAGAAGGUCUUCGGAUUGUAAACUCCUGU
Molecule: ribosomal RNA, 413 nt
Filed under: uncultured bacterium
Lineage: Bacteria
Description: bacterial SSU rRNA
Rfam family: Bacterial small subunit ribosomal RNA
Source: RNAcentral